AUGAACGCUGGCGGCGUUCCUAAUACAUGCAAGUCGAGCGAACAGACGAGGAGCUUGCUCCUCUGACGUUAGCGGCGGACGGGUGAGUAACACGUGGAUAACCUACCUAUAAGACUGGGAUAACUUCGGGAAACCGGAGCUAAUACCGGAUAAUAUAUUGAACCGCAUGGUUCAAUAGUGAAAGACGGUUUUGCUGUCACUUAUAGAUGGAUCCGCGCCGCAUUAGCUAGUUGGUAAGGUAACGGCUUACCAAGGCAACGAUGCGUAGCCGACCUGAGAGGGUGAUCGGCCACACUGGAACUGAGACACGGUCCAGACUCCUACGGGAGGCAGCAGUAGGGAAUCUUCCGCAAUGGGCGAAAGCCUGACGGAGCAACGCCGCGUGAGUGAUGAAGGUCUUCGGAUCGUAAAACUCUGUUAUUAGGGAAGAACAAAUGUGUAAGUAACUAUGCACGUCUUGACGGUACCUAAUCAGAAAGCCACGGCUAACUACGUG
Molecule: ribosomal RNA, 496 nt
Filed under: uncultured bacterium
Lineage: Bacteria
Description: partial 16S ribosomal RNA
Rfam family: Bacterial small subunit ribosomal RNA
Source: RNAcentral